UUUGGGUUAAACAUUGCAAUU
RNAcentral lists this non-coding RNA (21 nucleotides) under Caenorhabditis elegans. Lineage: Eukaryota; Metazoa; Nematoda; Chromadorea; Rhabditida; Rhabditidae. The record is from RNAcentral.